This is a non-coding RNA of Xyrichtys novacula (pearly razorfish), 20703 nucleotides long. Lineage: Eukaryota; Metazoa; Chordata; Actinopteri; Labriformes; Labridae. The record is from the annotation of a GenBank genome assembly.
AGGGGAACCACCGUGCCCCCUAAAUCCUCCCCCUCAAACAUCUUUUUUAACACUCUAAAAUUAGCCAGCUAACCCCACUACAACAACUUCAUCAAAAAUUUAAAUAAUAAAUACUUAUCAAAUUUACAUUUCUGUCUGUCUUUUAGGGAACUGUUCUCUGUUUUUAAGCUCACUUUUGAUUUUUGCUAUUUGCUCUUGACACUUCUAUUUUUCCUUUUUUCUUCCCCUUCCCUUUUUGCAAUCCACUUUUGUUCUUCUUUUAUUUUUUUAUUUUUUCAUUGUUUUAUAUUAUAUUAUUUUAUUUUAUUUUGUUUUAGGGUUCCUGUGCUUUUGUUUUUCUUCGCCCCUCCCCUCUUUUUUCUUAGGAAGGACUGACUCCUGAGGUUCUCAUGCCAGGAAAAAUGUACCUCCCUCACUCACGGUUUUACCCACAAGCCUUUGCUGCAACAGGGAGAUUGAUUCCCAAGGCUCUCAUGCCAGAAAGGAAGUACCUCACUCACUCACGGUUUUGCCCACAAUCCUUUGCUGUAACAGGAAGAUUUGCUGCGUCCGAACUGCCCGCUCGGAUACUACAUGCUACUGCUACGUGCUACUGCUAGAUCCUACUCCUACAUAUUAAAAACGUUGGCCCAAUUCGGACACACUAGACGAGCGGUGGGGAAAGACGACCCCCGCAGGCAGAGAGUAGGUACUGCGCCCGUGCAGACAGUGGUAACUGAAGCUCCUCAUCUGCGGGCCUGGCUGUAGUACUGCAGCUGUGCAGUUUAAUGAUGGAAUAAGUGAGCUUUACCUCCAUGAUGUCGCCACAUAUUUGCUCAUAAAAUGAUUACUUGGGCAAAUAUGACACCAUGACAUGACAAAGAGAUACAACCGCACAUUUUUUAGGACAGUGUGUGAAGUUACAUGAAACUUACAUCUGUACUGCUGCGGUCCCGCCUGCUGCUGCUGCUGCUCCGACAUGGUGCGCGCUGCUGUGGCCAGCCGGCGUUCGCGACACUUAAAUAGGCAGAGCAGCUGGUGGCGCUAGCAUCACAUGCGCUUCUACAACUUUUAAGAGGACGAAGAAGAAGCCCGCGGUGCAUUUUGGGUCAGUAGCAUGCCCGUAGGAUGCACCGAGACCAACCUACAAUGUGGGCGUGUCUAGCAUCUGAAGUAGUAUCUGAAGUAGCAUGCUACUCGCUCCGGUGGCCAAUUCGGACAUGCUAGAUACUACUUCGACUACUACUUCGACUACUACUUGGCAAUUCGGAAGCAGCUAUUGAUUCCUUAGGCUCUCAUCCCUCAGAACUAAAAUACCCACAAUCCCUUGCGAUUGCAUACAAAUUUAAUGUAGCAAAACUUAAUUUAAAACAAAUAAACCACUUUAAAAUUAACUAAAAACAACUUGAAAGUUUAAAAAUCAACCAAGAGAAAUCCAUUCUGGAGAACAAACAUCGAGAAGAGAACACAACCAUGUCUGAGAGGAACAAAACAAACCAUGACUCGAGCCCCACUCUGGGGAUGUCUGGUCAUGUUAAAAGCACUUUUAAGUGCUGUACACUCAAGAUCAAUUCCUGUUCCUGUAAUUGAGACAAAGCCCUGACCACUGGACCAAGAAGACGCCGCUCCGCCUUGAGUAAGACGCCGCACCUCCUUCACUCCAAGCCGGCCACCACCGAGCUUCGACCCGCCGAAGGCACCGAGUCCCAGCAAACCUUCCCGCGGACCGCCUAUCUCCUUUCCCCCGCCGAGGACCAUGGACCUCAGACACACCGCCGCCGCCGCGGCUGGACAGCUGGAACCUUUUCCCCCCUCCAACAGAUUUUAGACUACUGGAAAAGAAACGCCUCACAUCAACAACAACAUAGGACCACUAGGGUAAGUCUACAAAAAACCUCUUAAACACCUCAAAAUUACUCUUAAUAGUUACAGAAUAGUAACUACCAAACUAGAAUACAACUAAAACUUCACAGCACCAAAACUAAAUAGGACUAAAAUAGCUCCAAUUGGCUACAGGGCACAACACGGAAGUUGAUCGACUCCGUGGGGCCUUCCUUGAAAGAGGAUAUCUAGUGUUAAAACGGCCGAAACAUCCGAUGAUUUCGGGGUUCACUACUGAAGACAUGUCCUGAAAUUUAAUGUCCAAUACCAGCGCUGGGUCAAUGUAAUGGUUUAUUUGAAGAAUUUUUCAAACAAAUAAGAUUUUCCAAAAUAAUUAAUUGAGCACUUAACUCGACACAAUCUGGUCCUCUGGUCUUCUAUUUUGAGUGUUGGUUUAUCCUGGUGCAUGAAUAAAGGUCCAUAAAACCCGCACCUUUUAUGGUUUACUUUAAUUUCUACUCUAACAUAGCAUUUCAGCAUUUGUCCAUUUACCAAACUCGUAUUUCCCACCUCUUGAUCCCAGGGUCCAGUUUUUUACAGUUUCCUUUUUUCACCUUUUCGUUUUUGCCACUCUCGUAUUUCCCACUUUCUAAUUUGGUAAACAUUGUACAUUCCAUGUUUUAUCCCAGUUUUUAUUUUUUAUUUUUUAUUCUUAGUUCUAUUUUUAUUUUCCUAUUAAUUUCCCCCUACCUGUAUAUUGUACCUUUUUUGAACAAAUAAAAAAUGUUUUGGAACAACUAUACACUCAAUUUUUAUUCCACCUUUUUUUCUCAUACUAAUUUACUUUAUAAUUCAAUUUUGUGUAUUUAUAUCACAUUUUUUUUAUUAUUUAAAUUUGCAAUUUAAAUAUAAUACAUUUGGUUCCAGUGCAAUCAAAAUUACAGUUUUCCUUUGUUAUACAGAAGUCAACACAAUUUUCUCUCAGUUUUACUGUAAUAUCAAUUCAAUGUUGGGUGUAACUUUAACAGUUCCUGUUUGUACUUUUUAACAAAUUAAACAGUGUAGAAAGGGAUGACACAAUUUUAUACAACAUUCUAAUUUACACCCGUAAGCAACAAUUUGGGAGCUAACCUUACUUAUUAAACUCAAAAUUGUUUAACUCAUGGAUUACAACUUUAGAAUAGUCCAAUACCUAAAUAAACUACAAUUCCUACUCACUUUCUAACUCUGAAAUAAUAAUUUACAGUGAACCCUAGGUCCUAUAUAGUCUAUAUAAACAAUCUCCACUUAACUCCAAACUUAUCCAUCUAAAACAAUGCAAUCUUCUGAAAAGUCGAUACUCUGGACCAAUAAUUCUAUUUAUUGAUCUAAAAUUAAUAAUAUAACAAAAUUAAAUUAUGCAAUUAUUAAUGAAAUUGACACUUUUGACUGAAAUAAUAAUUUCCAAAUAAUAAUUUAUAACUAACCAUUAAGAUUUAUUUUAGAUCACAGCGUUAGGGAGUUCAGCAGAGUCUAUGGCCUAGACAGGCCUGAGUAGAAGGGGUUCCAGACAGAACCAUCCACUUUUGACUCUGAAUAAUACUUUAUAAAUAAUAAUUCAUAAAUAUUUCCGAUUUAAUCUAAAAUCAUUUUAGGUCACAGCGUUAAGGACUUUAGCAGAGUCUAUGGCCUAGACAGGCCUGAGUGGAAGGGGUUCCAGACAGAACCGUCCACUUUUGACUCUGAAUAAUAAUUUAUAAAUAAUAAUUCAUAAAUAUUUCCGAUUUAAUCUAAAAUAAUCUUAGGUCACAGCGUUAGGGAUUUUAGCCGAGUCUUUGGCCUAGACAGGCCUGAGUGGAAGGGGUUCCAGACAGAACCGUCCACUUUUGACUCUGAAUAAUGAUUUAUAAAGAAUAAUUUAUAAAUAUUUCCAAUUUAAUCUAAAAUAAUUUUAGGUCACAGCCUUGAGGGAGCUUAGCAGAGUCUAAAGCCUAGACAGGCCUGAGUGGAAGGGCUUCCAGACAGAACCAUCCACUUUUGACUCUGAAAUAAGAAAUAAUAUAUUUUGAAAUAAUUUUGAAAUAAUUUAUAAAUAUUGGCAAUUUAAUCUUAAAUAAUUUUUAAUCAUAGCCUUGAGGGAGCUUAGCAGAGUCUAUGGCCUAGACAGGCCUGAAUGGAAGGGGUUUCAGACAGAACCAUUCACUUUUGUUCUGAACAAUAAUACUUUAUAAAUAACAAUAAAUAAAUAUCUCCGAUUUAAUCUAAAAUAAUUUUAGGUCACAGUGUUAGGGAGGUUAGCAGAGUCUAUGACCUAGACAGGCCUGAGUGGAAGGGUUUCAGACAGAACCAUCCACUUUUGACUCUGAAAUAAGAAAUAAUAAAUUUUGAAAUAAUUUCUAAAUACUAAUUUAUAAAUAUUUGCAAUUUAAUCUAAAAUAGUUUUAGGUCACAGCGUUAGGGAGCUUAGCAGAGUCUAUGGCCUAGACAGGCCUGGGUGGAAGGGGUUCCAGACAGAACCAUCCACUUUUGACUCUGAAUAAUAAUUUAUAAAGAAUAAUUUAUAAAUAUUUCAAAUUUAAUCUAAAAUAAUUUUAGGUCACAGCAUUAGGGAGUCUAGCAGAGUCUAAAGCCUACACAGGCCUGAGUGGAAGGGGUUCAAGACAGAACUGUCCACUUUUGACUCUGAAUAAUAAUUUCUAAAUAAUAAUUCAUAAAUUUUUCCAAUUUAAUCUAAAGAAUUUUUAGGUCACAGCGUGUGGAGUUUAGCAGAGUCUAUGGCCUAGACAGGCCUGGGUGGAAGGAGUUCCAGACGGAACUGUCCACUUUUGACUCUGAAAUAAUACUUUAUCAAUAACAAUGUAUUACUAACCUUAUAUUUUAUACUUCAAUUUCAUGACUUCCAACAAUAGCUUUGCUACCUUUAACAGAGUCCAGAGUCUAGACAAUCUGAAGUGUCGUAUUCCUUAAUGAAUUUCAAUUCUUCCAAAUAGCCACGGUUAGCUCCCUACAGACACUAACCCUUACCCUCACCCUAACCCUAACCCUCCAGAACCUAAAUCUACCCCUAACCCUAUCCCCUACCCCUACCCCUAACCCUAGCCUACCCCUAACCCUAACCUCUAAACCCUAAAUCUAACCCUAACCCCCAACACUAACCCUAACCCCUAACACUAACCCUACCCCUAACCCUAACCCUUACCUCUAAACCCUAAAUCUAACCCUAACCCCGAACCCUAACCCUAACCCUAACCUUACUAAUCUCUAACUUGGCGUAGUCACCCCCACCCUCUUUUUUCAUAUCAGAGGAUGAAAACCAACAGGUGAGGAGAGUUUCUCUGGCUAGUCACUGUGGCAAGUUCUAUUCUCUCUCUAUCACUCGAAUCCCUGUAGAAGCAGAAUGGUUGCAGUCCCAACAACCUGUUUCUCUCUCCCCCAUCCUCUGAGACUUUGCACUAAUGCACCAUAACCCUACUCCUAUAGAUAAAAUUCACCCUAUUCCCUCCCUACUAACACCACCUAGUCCUUCUCAAUAAGAAAAAUUAUUAUUAAUAUUAUUAUUAUUAUUAUUUUAACACUUAACCAUACCAACUCUAAUCCCUAACUGAACCUCCAAAAAUAAUUGCUCUACAAACUUUUGUGAAAAGUACGGUUAAAGGGCUAUUUCACAUUUUUUGCCGGUCCGCACACAUUGGAAUGUGGCUAACUCCUCUGAAGGCUUUCGUUCCACCGGCACCAAAUUUGCUCAGGCCAAUCUACACCCCAUGGCCAUUAAAAGUUGUACAAAUCAUGACGCUGCACCCUACGGUUUAAGUUCUAGGGGGCGCCAAAAAAACCCAAAUCUAAUCAGCCAAUCACAUGGCGGCAACUUAGUGCAUUUAGGCAUGUAGACAUGGUCAAGACAAUCUCCUGCAGUUCAAACCGAGCAUCAGUAUGGGGAAGAAAGGUGAUUUGAGUGACUUUGAACGUGGCAUGGUUGUUGGUGCCAGAAGGGCUGGUCUGAGUAUUUCAGAAACUGCUGAUCUACUGGGAUUUUCACGCACAACCAUCUCUAGGGUUUACAGAGAAUGGUCCGAAAAAGAAAAAAUAUCCAGUGAGCGGCAGUUCUGUGGGCGGAAAUGCCUUGUUGAUGCCAGAGGUCAGAGGAGAAUGGCCAGACUGGUUCGAGCUGAUAGAAAGGCAACAGUGACUCAAAUAACCACCCGUUACAACCAAGGUAGGCAGAAGAGCAUCUCUGAACGCACAGUACGUCGAACUUUGAGGCAGAUGGGCUACAGCAGCAGUAGACCACACCGGGUGCCACUCCUUUCAGCUAAGAACAGGAAACUGAGGCUACAAUUUGCACAAGCUCGUCGAAAUUGGACAAUAGAAGAUUGGAAAAACGUUGCCUGGUUUGAUGAGUCUCGAUUUCUGCUGCGACAUUCGGAUGGUAGGGUCAGAAUUUGGCGUCAACAACAUGAUAGUAUGGAUCCAUCCUGCCUUGUAUCAACGGUUCAGGCUGGUGGUGGUGGUGUCAUGGUGUGGGGAAUAUUUUCUUGGCACUUUUUGGGCCCCUUGGUACCAAUUGAGCAUCGUUGCAACGCCACAGCCUACCUGAGUAUUGUUGCUGACCAUGUUCAUCCCUUUAUGACCACAAUGUACCCGACUUCUGAUGGCUACUUUCAGCAGGAUAAUGCGCCAUGUCAUAAAGCUGGAAUCAUCUCAGACUGGUUUCUUGAACAUGACACUGAGUUCACUGUACUCAAAUGGCCUCCACAGUCACCAGAUCUCAAUCCAAUAGAGCAUCUUUGGGAUGUGGUGGAACGGGAGAUUCGCAUCAUGGAUGUGCAGCCGACAAAUCUGUGGCAACUGUGUGAUGCCAUCAUGUCAAUAUGGACCAAGCUCUCUGAGGAAUGCUUCCAGCACCUUGUUGAAUCUAUGCCACGAAGAAUUGAGGCAGUUCUGAAGGCAAAAGGGGGUCCAACCCGUUACUAGCAUGGUGUACCUAAUAAAGUGGCCGGUGAGUGUAUACCCCAUGGCCAUUCAAAGUUGUACAAAUCAUGACGCUGCACCCCACGGUUUACAUUCUAGGGGGCGCCAAAGAUGACCCAAAAAUCCACAUUCUUCAAAGUCUUAUAACUUUUUAUUUUUGUCCUCACUGGCCUCCAAGUUUUCUAGGAUGAUGCAAUGUCCAGCCAUCAACACAUGUGUGAAGGAAUUUUUACUCCCUAAAAGAGUGCCCCCCCCCCCCCCCCCAUGGCAGGAGAAAAAAGUCCAUUUUUUCUUUACCCCAAGGUAAAAAUACACAUUGUUGAGUGUCACGCCUGUGCGCUUUGUCAUAUUGACACAAAAUUUGACAAUCAUGUGUAGCUCAAUAAGAUCUACGAAAAAGUCAAUGCGCACGUAUCUGUAAAAUGUACGGUUAAUGGGCUAUUUCGCAUUUUUUGCCGAUUCGCACACAUUGGAAUGUGGCUAACUCCUCUUAAGGCUUUCGUCCCACCGACACCAAAUUUGCUCAGGCCAAUCUACACCCCAUGGCCAUUCAAAGUUGUACAAAUCGUGAUGCUGCACCCCACGGUUUACGUCCUAGGGGGCGCCAAAGAUGACCCAAAUAUCCACAUGCUUAAAAGUCUUCUAACUUUUUAUUUUUGUCCUCACUGGCCUCCAAGUUUUCUAGGAUGAUUCAAUGUCCAGCCAUCAACACAUUUGUGAAGGAAUUUUUUCUCCCUAAAAGAUGAGUGUGUCAUUGUGUAAGAAAAGAAAGUGGUUUACUUACACAUCCAUAGAAAAUAGGUGGUUGAGCACAUUACGCAAACAAAGCUUUGCCACGACGGUGGAACUUCCCAAGUAGCCGAUACCAAGGUCACACAAUCAUGGUGAGCAAAGGUCAAACCAGGCCAGGCACUCAUGAGGCUGGCUGUGGCAAGUGUAAGUGAAAGCAACACGCAAUGGCCGGAAGAACAGCAAACGCCGAUGAAGGAAAAGGGUCUUUGCAGUGAUGGGUGUUACCAGAGAGGGCGAUGGCCAGAGGACGCGAAUGGGACGGGGAGGCGAUUGCGUUGGGGGGGGGUGCGCGACACGGCUCGGGCCCUAGUCUUUCUUUCUUUAGGGCCCGAGCCAGCUGCAGAGCAGCCGGGCGUAGAGCCCUGUUGUUCCUGUAGUGGUUUUUCUUUGUUUCUUUUUCUUUCUUCUUUUUCCUCCCCUUUGAACUGGAAAAUGGCCCACUUCCCACUGGCAAAAACUCAGGAAAUUUGGCAGGACGACCGGGCCUGGUGAAAAAUUCGAUAUUCUGAAGUCGCCCAAACAACAAAAUGCGAAAUGGCUCCAUAGCGCCCCCUAAGGUGUAAAUUCACACUAUUGACUGUCACGCCUGUACGCUUUGUCAUAUUGACACAAAAAUUGACACACACAUGUAUCUCAAUAAGAUCUACAAAAAAGUCAGUGCGGGCGUAUUUGUCAAAUGUACGGUUAAAGGGUUAUUUCGCAUUUUUUGCCGAUCCGCACACAUUGGAAUUUCGCUAACUCCUCCGAAGGCUUUCGUUCCACCGGCACCACAUUUGCUCAGGCCAAUCUACACCCCAUGGCCAUUAAAAGUUAUUCAAAUCAUGAUGCUGCACCCCACGGUUUAGGUUCUAGGGGGCGCCAAAAAUAACCCAAAAAUCCACAUUUUUAAAAGUCUUAUAACUUUUCAUUUUUGUCCUCACUGGCCUCCAAGUUUUCUAGGAUGAUGCAAUUUCCAGCCAUCAACACAUUUGUGAAGGAAUUUUUACUCCCCAAAAGAGCGCCCCCCCAUGGCAGGAGAAAAAAGUCCAUUUUUUCUUGUCCCCUAAGGUGAAAAUACACAUUGUUGAGAGUCACGCCUGUACGCUUUGUCAUAUUGACACAAAAAUUGACACACACAUGUAUCUCAAUAAGAUCUACAAAAAAGUCUAUGCGCGCGUAUCUGUCAAAUGUACGGUUAAAGGGUUAUUCCGCAUUUUUUGCCGAUACGCACACAUUGGAAUUUCGCUAACUCCUCCGAAGGCUGGCGUUCCACCGGCACCACAUUUGCUCAGGCCAAAUUACACCCCAUGGCCAUUAAAAGUUAUUCAAAUCAUGAUGCUGCACCCCACGGUUUAGGUUCUAGGGGGCGCCAAAGAUAACCCAAAAAUCCACAUUUUUAAAAGUCAUAACUUUUCAUUUUUGUCCUCACUGGCCUCCAAGUUUUCUAGGAUGAUGCAAUGUCCAGCCAUCAACACAUUUGUGAAGGAAUUUUUACUCCCCAAAAGAGCUCCCCCCCAUGGCAGGAGAAAAAAGUCAAUUUUUUCUUGUCCCCUAAGGUGAAAAUACACAUUGUUGAGUGUCACGCCUGUACGCUUUGUCAAAAUGACACAAAAAUUGACACACACAUGUAUCUCAAUAAGAUCUACGAAAAAGUCAAUGCGCGCAUAUCUGUCAAAUGUACGAUUAAAGGGUUAUUCCGCAUUUUUUGCCGAUCCGCACACAUUGGAAUGUGGCUAACUCCUCCGAAGGCUUUUGUUCCACCGGCACCACAUUUCCUCAGACCAAUCUACACCCCAUGGCCAUUAAAAGUUAUUCAAAUUAUGACGCUGCACCCCACGGUUUAGGUUCUAGGGGGCGCCAAAGAUAACCCAAAAAUCCACAUUUUUAAAAGUCUUAUAACUUUUCAUUUUUGUCCUCACUGGCUUCCAGGUUUUCUAGGAUGAUGCAAUGUCCAGCCAUCAACACAUUUGUGAAGGAAUUUUUACUCCCUAAAAGAGUGCCCCCCCAUGGCAGGAGAAAAAGUCAAGUUUUUCCGGCCCAUCGCUCAAUGGCUCAAUCGCAUCGCCCUCCCGGCAACACCGUAAGGAGGAGCAACCUGCCAUUUGGAUAUAUCCUAGCUGUGUUUGUGCCCUCACUCAUGGUCCAGACUUUUUUCAAAUAGGACAUGUAGUUUGUCUGCAGCGAGUGUUUUGGUAGAAACUGCGCCUCCCAUUCAUUAUAAUGGGAAAUGACCACAGACAAGUGCGCACACCAUCUUUGGACCUUGAGUGUGACGCGAUCGGGAGGGGGAGGCGGUCGUGCUGGGGGCGGCGCGCAAGGCUCGGGCCCGCCAGUGCCCCACCGGGGCCCUAGUUCUUUCUUUCUUUUUUUCUUUUUCUUAUUUUUCCUCCCCUUUGAAGGGGAAAAUGGCCCACUUCCCACUGGCGAAAACUCAUGAAAUUUGGCAGGACGACCGGGCCUGGUAAAAAAUUCGAUAUUCUGAAGUCGCUGAAAAAAUUAUUUGCAAAAUGGCUCCAAAGCGCCCCCUAAGGUGAAAAUUCACACUAUCGAGUGUCACACCUGUACGCUUUGUCAUAUUGACACAAAAAUUGACACACACGUGUAUCUCAAUAAGGUCUACAAAAAAAGUCAGUAUAGGCGUAUCUGUGAAAUGUACGGUUAAAGGGCUAUUUUGCAUUUUUUGCCGAUCCGCACACAUUGGAAUGUGGCUAACUCCUCCGAAGGCCUUCGUUCCACCGGCACCAAAUUUGCUCAGGCCAAUCUACUCCCCAUGGCCAUUCAAAGUUGUACAAAUCAUGACGCUGCACCCCACGGUUUAGGUUCUAGCGGGCGCCAAAGAUAACCCAAAAAUCCACAUUCUUAAAAGUCUUCUAACUUUUUAUUUUACUCCUCACUGGCCUCCAAGUUUUCUAGGAUGAUGCAAUGUCCAGCCAUCAACACAUUUUUGAGGGAAUUUUUUCUCGCCAAAAGAGCGCCCCCCCAUGGCAGGAGAAAAAAGGCAAUUUUUUCUUGUCACCUAAGGUGAAAAUACACAUUGUUGAGUGUCACGCCUGUGCGCUUUGUCAUAUUGACACAAAAUUUGACAAUCACGUGUAUCUCAAUAAGAUCUACGAAAAACUCAAUGCGCGCGUAUCUGUCAAUUGUACGGUUAAAGGACUAUUUCGCAUUUUUUGCCGAUUCACACACAUUGGAAUGUGGCUAACUCCUAAGGCUUUCGUCCCACCGACACCAAAUUUGCUCAGGCCAAUCUACAUCCCAUGGCCAUUCAAAGUUGUACAAAUCAUGACGCUGAACCCCACGGUUUACGUUCUAGGGGGCGCCAAAGAUGACCCAAAAAUACACAUGAUUACAAAUCGUUUUGGCCAUUGAGUGGCGCCAAAGGGAGUUGUCUAUUAACAGCAGACAAAGUAGUUAUGGCCACUGAGUGGCGCCAAAGGAGUUGUCUAUUAAAACUGAUACUACAGAAAAAGUUAAAAGGCUCAUAAAGGGUUAAAAAAAAUAUCUUCAAUGAAACAUUUGCUAGUUUUGAACAGGGCAGAAGUAAAAUAAGAGAUGUACAAAAAAAAUCUGGAAAAAAUCCAAUUUGAUUUUACAGCAGACAAAGAAGUUUUGGCCACUCAUCCAAGUUUUCUAGGAUGAUGCAAUGUUCAGCCAUCAAAACAUUUGUGAAGUAAUUUUUUUCUCACCAAAAGAGCGCCCCCCCAAGGCAGGAGAAAAAGUCAAGUUUUUCCUGCCCAUCGCUCAAUGGCUCAAACACACCGCUCUCUCUGCAAAACCGAAAGGAGGAGCAACUUGCCAUUUGGAUAUAUACUAGCUGUGUUUGUGCCCUCACUCAUGGUCCAGACUUUUUUCAUAUAGGUCAUGAAGUUUGUCUGCAGCAAGUGUUUUGGUAGAAACUGCGCCUCCCAUUCAUUAUCAUGGUAAAUGACCACAGACAAGUGCGCACACCAUCUUUGGACCUUGAUAUAUUUUUGCAAUCCAAAUAUUUUUUAUUUCAUUUUUCUUUUUUUUUUGGUCUAACUAACUCAAAAAGCUUGGAAAAGAGUUCCUACAAAGGUUUUGGACAGUGAUUUUAACCCUAAUGCCAAAAACCUUAAACCUUACCAUAGCCCCAUAACCUAAUACCCGGGUAUUACCUUCAGGAAGCUCGAACACCCCAAAUAUUUCUUUUUCAUUUUUCGUUUUUUUUUGGUGUAACCAUCUCCAAAAGGUUGGAAACAUGUUCCUACAAAGGUUUUGGACAGUGAUUUUAACCCUAAUCCAAAAACCUUAACCAUUACCAUAGCCCCAUAACCUAAUACCGGGGUAUUACCUUCAGGAAGCCUGAACACCCCAAAUAUUUUUUUUUCAUUUUACAUUUUUUUUUGGUGUAACUGACUCCAAAAGGUUGGAAAAGAGUUCCUACAAAGGCUUUGGACAGUGAUUUUAACCCUCACGCCAAAAACCUUAAACCUUACCUUAGCCCCAAAACCUAAUACCCGGGUAUUACCUUCAGGAAGCUCGAACACCCCAAAUAUUUCUUUUUCAUUUUUCGUUUUUUUUUGGUGUUACCAUCUCCAAAAGGUUGGAAACAUGUUCCUACAAAGGUUUUGGACAGUGAUUUUAACCCUAACGCCAAAAACCUUAAACCUUUCCAAAGCCCCAGAAACUGAUUCCCGGGUAUUGCCUUCAGGAAGCCCGAAAACCCCAAAUAUUUUUUUUUCAUUUUUCAUUUUUUUUUGGUCUAACUAACUCCAAAAGGUUGGAAAAGAGUUCCUACAAAGGUUUUGGACAAUAAUUUUAACCCUAACGCCAAAAAACUGAACCCUUACCAUAGCCCCAUAACCUAAUACCUUCAGGAAGCCCGAACACCCCAAAUAUUUUUUUUUCAUUUUACAUUUUUUUUUGGUGUAACCAACUCCAAAAGGUCUGAAACAUGUUCCUAAAAAGAUUUUGGACAGUUAGUUUAACCCUAUCGCCAAAAACCUUAAACCUUACCAUAGCCCAAUAACCUAAUACCCGGGUAUUACCUCCAGGAAGCCUGAAAACCCAGAAUAUUUUUUUUUUCAUUUUUCUUUUUUUUUGGUCUAACUGACUCCAAAAGGUUGGAAAAGAGUUCCUACAAAGGUUUUGGACAGUGAUUUUAACCGUAACGCCAAAAACCUUAAACUUUUCCUAAGCCCCAUAACCUAAUACCCGGGUAUUACCUUCAGGAAGCCUGAACACCCCAAAUAUUUUUUAUUUCAUUUUCAAUUUUUUUUUGGUCUAACUAACUCCGAAAUGAUGGAAAAGAGUUCCUACAAAGGUUUUGGAUAGUGAUUUUAACCCUAAUGCCAAGAACCCUAAAACUUUCCAAAGCCCCAUAACCUAAUACCCGGGUAUUACCUUCAGGAAGCCCGAAAACCACAAAUAUUUUUUUUUCUUUUUUCUUUUUUUUGUUAAACUACCUCCAAAAGCUUGGAAAAGAGUUCCUCCAAAGGUUUUGGACAUUGAUAUUAACCCUAACGCCAAAAACCUAAAACCUAACCCUAGCCCCAUAACCUAAUACCUGGGUAUUACCUUCAGGAAGCCCGAAAACCCCAAAUAUUUUCUUUUCAUUUUUGAUUCUUUUUUGGUCUAACUCCAAAAGGUUGGAAAAGAGUUCCUACAAAGGUUUUGGACAAGGAUUUUAACCCUUACGCCAAAAACCUUAAACCUUACCCUAGCCCCAAAACCUAAUACCCGGGGAUGACCUUCAGGAAGCCCGAACACCCCAAAUAUUUUUAUUUCAUUUUUCAUUUUUUUUGGUCUAACUAACUCCAAAAGGUUGGAAAAGAGUUCCUACAAAGGUUUUGGACAGUGAUAUUAACCCUUACGCCAAAAACCUUAAACCUUACCAUAGUCCCAUAACCUAAUAGGUCCUUCAGGAAGCCCGAACACCCCAAAUAUUUUGUUUCAUUUUACAUUUUUUUUUUGUUUAACCAACAGCAAAAGGUCUGAAACAUGUUCCUAAAAAGGUUUUGGACAGUGAUUUUAACCCUAAUCCAAAAACCUUAACCAUUACCAUAGCCCCAUAACCUAAUACCGGGGUAUUACCUUCAGGAAGCCUGAACACCCCAAAUAUUUUUUUUUCAUUUUACAUUUUUUUUUGGUGUAACUGACUCCAAAAGGUUGGAAAAGAGUUCCUACUAUGGCUUUGGACAGUGAUUUUAACCCUCACGCCAAAAACCUUAAACCUUACCUUAGCCCCAAAACCUAAUACCCGGGUAUUACCUUCAGGAUGCCCGAACACCCCAAAUAUAUAUUUUUUUAUUUUUCAUGUUUUUUUGGUCUAACUAACUCCAAAAGCUUGGAAAAGAGUUCCUCCAAAGGUUUUGGACAUUGAUUUUAACCCUAACGCCAAAAACCUAAAACGUUACCCUAGCCCCAUAACCUAAUACCUGGGUAUUACCUUCAGGAAGCCCGAACACCCCAAAUAUUUUUUUUUCAUUUUUCAUUUUUUUUGGGUGUAACUAACUCCAAAAGCUUGGAAAAGAGUUCCUACAAAGGUUUUGGACAGUGAUUUUAACCCUAACGCCAAAAACCUUAAACCUUUCCAAAGCCCCAGAAACUGAUUCCCGGGUAUUGCCUUCAGGAAGCCCGAAAACCCCAAAUAUUUUUUUUUCAUUUUUCAUUUUUCUUUGGUCUCACUUACUCCAAAAGGUUGGAAAAGAGUUCCUACAAAGGUUUUGGACAAUAAUUUUAACCCUACCGCCAAAAAACGGAACCCUUACCAUCGCCCCAUAACCUAAUACCCGGGUAUUACCUUCAGGAAGCCCGAACACCCAAAAUAUUUAUUUUUCAUUUUACAUUUUUUUUUGGUGUAACCAACUCCAAAAGGUCUGAAACAUGUUCCUAAAAAGGUUUUGGACAGUUAUUUUAACCCUAUCGCCAAAAACCUUAAACCUUUCCUAAGCCCCAUAACCUAAUACCCGGGUAUUACCUCCAGGAAGCCUGAAAAGCCCAAAUAUAUUUUUUUCUUUUUUCUUUUUUUUUGGUCUAACUAACUCCGAAAGCUUGGAAAAGAGUUCCUCCAAAGGUUUUGGACAUUGAUUUUAACCCUAACGCCAAAAACCUAAAACCUUACCCUAGCCCCAUAACCUAAUACCCGGGUAUUACCUUCAGGAAGCCCGAAAACCCCAAAUUUAUUUUUUCUUUUUUCUUUUUUUUUUUGGUCUAACUAACUCCAAAAGGUUGGAAGAGAGUUCCUACAAAGGUUUUGGACAGUGGUUUUAACCCUAACGCCAAAAACCUUAAACCUUACCAUAGUCCCAGAACCUAAUAGGUCCUUCAGGAAGCCUGAACAACCCAAAUAUUUUUUUUCAUUUAACAUUUUCUUUUGGUGUAACCAACUCCAAAAGGUCUGAAACAUGUUCCUAAAAAGGUUUUGGACAGUUAUUUUAACCCUAUCGCCAAAAACCUUAAACCUUUCCUAAGCCCCAUAACCUAAUACCCGGGUAUUACCUCCAGGAAGCCUGAAAACCCCAAAUGUAUUUUUUUCUUUUUUCUUUUUUUUUUGGUCUAACUGACUCCAAAAGGUUGGAAAAGAGUUCCUACAAAGGUUUUGGACAUUGAUUUUAACCCUAACGCCAAAAACCUAAAACCUUACCCUAGCCCCAUAACCUAAUACCCGGGUAUUACCUUCAGGAAGCCCGAACACCCCAAAUAUAUUUAUUUCAUUUUUCAUUUUUUUUUGGUCUAACUAACUCCAAAAGCUUGGAAAAGAGUUCCUACAAAGGUUUUGGACAGUGAUAUUAACCCUAACGCCAGAAACCUUAAACCUUUCCAAAGCCCCAGAAACUGAUUCCCGGGUAUUGCCUUCAGGAAGCCCGAAAACCCCAAAUAUUUUUUUUUCAUUUUUCAUUUUUUUUUGGUCUAACUAACUCCAAUAGGUUGGAAAAGAGUUCCUACAAAGGUUUUGGACAAAAAUUUUAACCCUACCGCCAAAAAACUGAACCCUUACCAUCGCCCCAUAACCUGAUACCCGGGUAUUACCUUCAGGAAGCCCGAACACCCCAAAUAUUUUUUUUUUCAUUUUUCUUUUUUUUUUUGGUCUAACUAACUCCAAAAGGUUGGAAAAGAGUUCCUACAAAGGUUUUGGACAUUGAUUUUAACCCUAACACCAAAAACCUUAAAUGUUUCAUAAGCCCCAUAACCUAAUACCCGGGUAUUACCUUCAGGAAGCCCGAACACCCCAAAUAUUUUUUUUUUCAUUUUUCAUUUUUUUUGGUCUCACUAACUCCAAAAGCUUGGAAAAGAGUUCCUACAAAGGUUUUGGACAGUGAUUUUAACCCUAAUGCCAAAAACCUCAAACCCCAAAUAAUUUUUUUUUUCCAUUUUUCAUUUUUUUGGUCUAACUAACUCCAAAAGGUCUGAAAACAGUUCCAACAAAGGUUUUGGACAGUGAUUUUAACCUUAACGCCAAAAACCUUAAACCUUACCAUAACCCCUUAACCAAAUACCCGGGUAUUACCUUCAGGAAGCCUGAACACCCCGUAUAUUUUUUAUUUCAUUUUUCUUUUUUUGUUUGGUCUAACUUACUCCAUAAGGUUGGAAAAGAGUUCCUACAAAGGUUUUGGACAUUGAUUUUAACCCUAACGCCAAAAACCUCAAACCUUACCCUAGCCCCAAAACCUAAUACCAAUGUAUUACCUUCAGGAAGCCCGAACACCCCAAAUACUUUUUUUUCAUUUUUCAUUUUUUUGGUCUAACUAACUCCAAAAGGUUGGAAAACAGUUGCUACAAAGGUUUUGGACAGUGAUUUUAACCCUAACGCCAAAAACCUUAAAACUUACCAUAGCCCCAUAACUUAAUACCCGGGUAUUACCUUCAGGAAGCCCGAACACCCCAAAUAUUUUUUUUUCAUUUUACAUUUUUUUUUGGUGUAACUAACUCCAAAAGGUCUGAAACAUUUUCCUAAAAAGGUUUUGGACAUUGAUUUUAACCGUAACGCCAAAAACUUUAAACCUCACCCUAGCCCCCAUAACGUAUUACCUUCAGGAAGCCCGAAACCCCCCAAUUUUUUUUUUUCUUUUUUCUUUUUUUUUUUGGUCUAACUAACUCCAAAAGGUUGGAAAAGAGUUCCUACAAAGGUUUUGGACAGUGAUUUUAACCCUAACGCCAAAAACCUUAAACCUUACCAUAGCCCCAUAACCUGAUAUCCGGGUAUUACCUUCAGGAAGCCCGAACACCCCAAAUAUAUAUUUUUUAUUUUUCAUCUUUUUUUUGUUCUGACUAACUCCAAAAGGUUGGAAAAGAGUUCCUACAAAGGUUUUGGGAAGUGAUUUUAACCCUAACGCCAAAAACCUUAAACCUUUCCAAAGCCCCAUAACCUGAUAUCCGGGUAUUACCUUCAGGAAGCCCGAACACCCCAAAUAUAUAUUUUUUAUUUUUCAUCUUUUUUUGUUCUGACUAAUUCCAAAAGGUUGGAAAAGAGUUCCUACAAAGGUUUUGGGAAGUGAUUUUAACCCUAACACCAAAAACCUUAAACCUUUCCAAAGCCCCAUAACCUAAUACCCAUGUAUUACCUUCAGGAAGCCCGAACACCCCAAAUAUUUUUUUUUCAUUUUACAUUUUUUUUGGUGUAACUAACUCCAAAAGGUCUGAAACAUGUUCCUAAAAAGGUUUUGGACAGUGAUUUUAAUCCUAACGCCAAAAAACUUAAGCCUUUCCAAAGCCCCAUAACCUAAUACCCGGGUAUUACCUUCAGGAAGCCCGAAAACCCCAAAUAUUUUUUUUUCCUUUUUUCUUUUUUUUUUGGUCUAACUAACUCCAAAAGGUUGGAAAAGAGUUCCUACAAAGGUUUUGGACAGUGAUUUUAACCCUAACGCCAAAAACCUUAAACCUUACCAUAGCCCCAUAACCUGAUACCCGGGUAUUACCUUCAGGAAGCCCGAACACCCCAAAUAUUUUUUUUUCAUUUUUUUUGGUUUAACCAACUGCAAAAGCUCUGAAACAUGUUCCCAAAGGUUUUGGACAGUGAUUUUAACCCUAACGCCAAAAACCUUAAACCUUACCCUAGCCCCAUAACCUAAUACCCGGGUAUUACCUUCAGGAAGCCCGAAAACCCCAAAUUAAUUUUUUCUUUUUUCUUUUUUUUUUUGGUCUAACUAACUCCAAAAGGUUGGAAGAGAGUUCCUACAAAGGUUUUGGACAGUGGUUUUAACCCUAACGCCAAAAACCUUAAACCUUACCAUACUCCCAGAACCUAAUAGGUCCUUCAGGAAGCCUGAACACCCCAAAUUUUUUUUUUCAUUUAACAUUUUUUUUUGGUGUAACCAACUCCAAAAGGUCUGAAACAUGUUCCUAAAAAGGUUUUGGACAGUUAUUUUAACCCUAUCGCAAAAAACCUUAAACCUUUCCUAAGCCCCAUAACCUAAUACCCGGGUAUUACCUCCAGGAAGCCUGAAAACCCCAAAUGUAUUUUUUUCUUUUUUCUUUUUUUUUGGUCUAACUGACUCCAAUAGGUUGGAAAAGAGUUCCUACAAAGGUUUUGGACAAUAAUUUUAACCCUACCGCCAAAAAACGGAACCCUUACCAUCGCCCCAUAACCUAAUACCCGGGUAUUACCUUCAGGAAGCCCGAACACCCAAAAUAUUUAUUUUUCAUUUUACAUUUUUUUUUGGUGUAACCAACGGCAAAAGGUCUGAAACAUGUUCCUAAAAAGGUUUUGGACAGUUAUUUUAACCCUAUCGCCAAAAACCUUAAACCUUUCCUAAGCCCCAUAACCUAAUACCCGGGUAUUACCUCCAGGAAGCCUGAAAACCCCAAAUAUAUUUUUUUCUUUUUUCUUUUUUUUUGUCUAACUAACUCCGAAAGCUUGGAAAAGAGUUCCUCCAAAGGUUUUGGACAUUGAUUUUAACCCUAACGCCAAAAACCUAAAACCUUACCCUAGCCCCAUAACCUAAUACCCGGGUAUUACCUUCAGGAAGCCUGAACAACCCAAAUAUUUUUUAUUUAAUUUUUCAAUUUUUUUUUUGGUCUAACUAACUCCGAACUGUUGGAAAAGAGUUCCUACAAAGGUUUCGGAUAGUGAUUUUAACCCUAAUGCCAAAAACCUUAAACCUAAACCUAGCCCCAUAACCUAAUACCUGGGUAUUACCUUCAGGAAGCCCGAAAACCCAAAAUAUUUUCUUUUCAUUUUUCAUUCUUUUUUGGUCUAACUCCAAAAGGUUGGAAAAGAGUUCCUACAAAGGUUUUGGACAGGGAUUUUAACCCUUACGCCAAAAACCUUAAACCUUACCCUAGCCCCAAAACCUAAUACCCGAGGAUGACCUUCAGGAAGCCCGAACACCCCAAAUAUUUUUAUUUCAUUUUUCAUUUUUUUUGGUCUAACUAACUCCAAAAGGUUGGAAAAGAGUUCCUACAAAGGUUUUGGACAGUGGUUUUAACCCUAACGCCAAAAACCUUAAACCUUACCAUAGUCCCAUAACCUAAUAGGUCCUUCAGGAAGCCCGAACACCCCAAAUAUAUUUUUUUCAUUUUACUUUUUUUUUUGGUUUAACCAAUUGCAAAAGGUCUGAAACAUGUUCCUAAAAAGGUUUUGGACAGUGAUUUUAACCCUAAUCCAAAAACCUUAACCCUUACCAUAGCCCCAUAACCUAAUACCGGGGUAAUAUCUUCAGGAAGCCCGAACACCCCAAAUAUUUUUUUUUCAUUUUACAUUUUUUUUGGUCUAACUAACUCCAAAAGGUUGGAAAAGAGUUCCUACAAAGGCUUUGGACAGUGAUUUUAACCCUAACGCCAAAAACCUCAAACCUUACCCUAGCCCCAUAACCUAAUACCCGGGUAUUACCUUCAGGAAGCCUGAAAACCCCAAAUAUUUUUUUUUCAUUUUACAUUUUUUUUUUUGGUCUACCUAACUCCAAAAGGUUGGAAAAGAGUUCCUACAAAGGUUUUGGACAGUGGUUUUAACCCUAACGCCAAAAACCUUAAACCUUACCAUAGUCCCAUAACCUAUUAGGUCCUUCAGGAAGCCCGAACACCCCAAAUAUAUUUUUUUCAUUUUACAUUUUUUUUUGGUUCAACCAACAGCAAAAGGUCUGAAACAUGUUCCUAAAAAGGUUUUCGAAAGUGAUUUUAACCCUAAUCCAAAAACCUUAACCCUUACCAUAGCCCCAUAACCUAAUACCGGGGUAUUACCUUCAGGAUGCCCGAACACCCCAAAUAUAUAUUUUUUUAUUUUUCAUGUUUUUUUGGUCUAACUAACUCCAAAGGCUUGGAAAAGAGUUCCUCCAAAGGUUUUGGACAUUGAUUUUAACCUUAACGCCAAAAACCUAAAACCUUACCCUAGCCCCAAAACCUAAUACCGGGGUAUUACCUUCAGGAUGCCCGAACACCCCAAAUAUAUAUUUUUUUAUUUUUCAUGUUUUUUUGGUCUAACUAACUCCAAAAGGUUGGAAAAGAGUUCCUACAAAGGCUUUGGACAGUGAUUUUAACCCUAACACAUAAAAAAUUUAAACCUUACCAAAGCCCCAUAAUCUAAUACCCGGGUAUUACCUUAAGGAAGCCCGAACACCCCAAAUAUAUAUAUUUUUUUUUCAUCUUUUUUUUGGUCUAACGAACUCCGAAAUGUUGGAAAAGAGUUCCUACAAAGGUUUUGGACAGUGAUUUUAACCCUAAUGCCAAAAACCCUAAAACUUUCCAAAGCCCCAUAACCUAAUACCCGGGUAUUACCUUCAGGAAGCCCGAACACCCCAAAUAUUUUUUUUUCAUUUUUUUGGUUUAACCAAAUGCAAAAGGUCUGAAACAUGUUCCUAAAAAGGUUUUGGACAGUGAUUUUAACCCUAAUGCCAAAAACCUUAAACCUUACCUUAGCCCCAUAACCUAAUACCCGGGUAUUACCUUCAGGAAGUCCGAAAACCCCAAAUUUCUUUUUUUCUUUUUUAUUUUUUUUUUGGUCUAACUAACUCCAAAAGGUUGGAAAAGAGUUCCUACAAAGGUUUUGGACAGUGAUUUUAACCCGAAUGCCAAAAACCUUAAACCUUACCAUAGCCCCAUAACCUAAUACCCGGGUAUUACCAUAAGGAAGCCCAAACACCCCAAAUAUAUAUAUAUUUUUUUUCGUCUUUUUUUUGGUCUAACGAACUCCGAAAUGUUGGAAAAGAUUUCCUACAAAGGUUUUGGACAGUGAUUUUAACCCUAAUGCCAAAAACCCUAAAACUUUCCAAAGCCCCAUAACCUAAUACC